UGCAAGUCGAGCGGACAGAAGGGAGCUUGCUCCCGGAUGUUAGCGGCGGACGGGUGAGUAACACGUGGGUAACCUGCCUGUAAGACUGGGAUAACUCCGGGAAACCGGAGCUAAUACCGGAUAGUUCCUUGAACCGCAUGGUUCAAGGAUGAAAGACGGUUUCGGCUGUCACUUACAGAUGGACCCGCGGCGCAUUAGCUAGUUGGUGGGGUAAUGGCUCACCAAGGCGACGAUGCGUAGCCGACCUGAGAGGGUGAUCGGCCACACUGGGACUGAGACACGGCCCAGACUCCUACGGGAGGCAGCAGUAGGGAAUCUUCCGCAAUGGACGAAAGUCUGACGGAGCAACGCCGCGUGAGUGAUGAAGGUUUUCGGAUCGUAAAGCUCUGUUGUUAGGGAAGAACAAGUGCGAGAGUAACUGCUCGCACCUUGACGGUACCUAACCAGAAAGCCACGGCUAACUACGUGCCAGCAGCCGCGGUAAUACGUAGGUGGCAAGCGUUGUCCGGAAUUAUUGGGCGUAAAGGGCUCGCAGGCGGUUUCUUAAGUCUGAUGUGAAAGCCCCCGGCUCAACCGGGGAGGGUCAUUGGAAACUGGGAAACUUGAGUGCAGAAGAGGAGAGUGGAAUUCCACGUGUAGCGGUGAAAUGCGUAGAGAUGUGGAGGAACACCAGUGGCGAAGGCGACUCUCUGGUCUGUAACUGACGCUGAGGAGCGAAAGCGUGGGGAGCGAACAGGAUUAGAUACCCUGGUAGUCCACGCCGUAAACGAUGAGUGCUAAGUGUUAGGGGGUUUCCGCCCCUUA
RNAcentral lists this ribosomal RNA (804 nucleotides) under Bacillus sp. NCCP-2972. RNAcentral's name for it is "bacterial SSU rRNA". It matches the Rfam family "Bacterial small subunit ribosomal RNA", at positions 56 to 842 of the family's 1533-position model. The record is from RNAcentral. Lineage: Bacteria; Bacillati; Bacillota; Bacilli; Caryophanales; Bacillaceae.